This 386-nucleotide long non-coding RNA is filed under the name Chrysemys picta bellii (western painted turtle). RNAcentral describes it as "lncRNA (ENSCPBG00000003805.1)". Lineage: Eukaryota; Metazoa; Chordata; Testudines; Emydidae. The record is from RNAcentral.
UAUGGAGAGGACUAUGGGACGGAAGUGACAGUGAAUGUGCUGAAAUCUAUAAACAGGAGAGAUCUGGCUGAGAAACUCUCUGAGACACUGAGACCUGAUGGUUUAACUCCAGUCCCAGAACCUCAGCAAUCCCCAAAGCCAGGGGACAAAGACCGUCCCAAAGGUAUUUUCCUCUUACACCCCUUUGGUUUUACCUUUACUUAGCACUUCUAGUUAAAAAAAAAAAAUGCAACACUGGUAGGUUUUAAAUCCUGAACCAGACCAUGGAGUAGCUGUUCUAGAAACUCUGACGCUUCUCAGGGGUACCAGGGCUGUGAGGCACCUUGUUACCACCUGCCCUUAGUGUGAGGAAACCUUGUCUGUGCCUGCCAGAGGCCAGCUCAGCU